GACGUGACUUCAGAGUUUGAUCCUGGCUCAGGAUGAGCGCUGGCGGCGUGCCUAACACAUGCAAGUCGAGCGAGAUGUUUAUGACGGAUUCUUCGGAUGACGGAUUAAACGGAAAGCGGCGGACGGGUGAGUAACGCGUAGGCAACCUGCCCUUCACAGAGGGAUAGCCUCGGGAAACCGGGAUUAAAACCUCAUAAUGCCACUGAAAGACAUCUUCCGGUGGCCAAAGAUUUAUCGGUGAAGGAUGGGCCUGCGUCUGAUUAGUUAGUUGGUGAGGUAACGGCUCACCAAGGCGACGAUCAGUAGCCGACCUGAGAGGGUGAUCGGCCACAUUGGAACUGAGACACGGUCCAA
RNAcentral lists this ribosomal RNA (354 nucleotides) under uncultured bacterium. RNAcentral describes it as "bacterial SSU rRNA". It matches the Rfam family "Bacterial small subunit ribosomal RNA", at positions 1 to 334 of the family's 1533-position model. The record is from RNAcentral.